GCCCCGAUAGGGUAGCGGAUAUCCUGAGAGCCUCCGGAGCUUUCGACCUGAGUUCGAAUCUCAGUCGGGGCG
Molecule: transfer RNA, 72 nt
Filed under: Methanimicrococcus blatticola
Lineage: Archaea; Methanobacteriati; Methanobacteriota; Methanomicrobia; Methanosarcinales; Methanosarcinaceae
Also listed under: 5 other names
Rfam family: tRNA
About the family: Transfer RNA (tRNA) molecules are approximately 80 nucleotides in length. Their secondary structure includes four short double-helical elements and three loops (D, anti-codon, and T loops). Further hydrogen bonds mediate the characteristic L-shaped molecular structure. tRNAs have two regions of fundamental functional importance: the anti-codon, which is responsible for specific mRNA codon recognition, and the 3' end, to which the tRNAs corresponding amino acid is attached (by aminoacyl-tRNA synthetases). tRNAs cope with the degeneracy of the genetic code in two manners: having more than one tRNA (with a specific anti-codon) for a particular amino acid; and 'wobble' base-pairing, i.e. permitting non-standard base-pairing at the 3rd anti-codon position.
Source: Rfam by way of RNAcentral